CAGCAGCCGCGGGAAUACGAAGGGGGCUAGCGUUGUUCGGAUUUACUGGGCGUAAAGCGCACGUAGGCGGAUAUUUAAGUCAGGGGUGAAAUCCUGGAGCUCAACUCCAGAACUGCCUUUGAUACUGGGUAUCUAGAGUCCGGAAGAGGUGAGUGGAACUCCUAGUGUAGAGGUGGAAUUCGUAGAUAUUAGGAAGAACACCAGUGGCGAAGGCGGCUCACUGGUCCGGUACUGACGCUGAGGUGCGAAAGCGUGGGGAGCAAACAGGAUUAGAUACCCGAGUAGUCCCUGUCUCUUAUAC
Molecule: ribosomal RNA, 301 nt
Filed under: uncultured bacterium
Lineage: Bacteria
Description: partial 16S ribosomal RNA
Rfam family: Bacterial small subunit ribosomal RNA
Source: RNAcentral